CACAAGCAUGCGGGUGCUUACACAUGCAAGUCGAACGAUGACCCCGUGCUUGCACGGGUGAUUAGUGGCGAACGGGUGAGUAACACGUGAGUAACCUGCCCUUGACUCUGGGAUAAGCCUGGGAAACUGGGUCUAAUACUGGAUAUGCACCGUGAACCGCAUGGUUUUUGGUGGAAAGAUUUAUUGGUCAAGGAUGGACUCGCGGCCUAUCAGCUUGUUGGUGAGGUAAUGGCUCACCAAGGCGACGACGGGUAGCCGGCCUGAGAGGGUGACCGGCCACACUGGGACUGAGACACGGCCCAGACUCCUACGGGAGGCAGCAGUGGGGAAUAUUGCACAAUGGGCGAAAGCCUGAUGCAGCGACGCCGCGUGAGGGAUGACGGCCUUCGGGUUGUAAACCUCUUUCAGUAGGGAAGAAGCGAAAGUGACGGUACCUGCAGAAGAAGCGCCGGCUAACUACGUGCCAGCAGCCGCGGUAAUACGUAGGGCGCAAGCGUUAUCCGGAAUUAUUGGGCGUAAAGAGCUCGUAGGCGGUUUGUCGCGUCUAUCGUGAAAGUCCGAGGCUCAACCUCGGAUCUGCGGUGGGUACGGGCAGACUAGAGUGAUGUAGGGGAGACUGGAAUUCCUGGUGUAGCGGUGAAAUGCGCAGAUAUCAGGAGGAACACCGAUGGCGAAGGCAGGUCUCUGGGCAUUAACUGACGCUGAGGAGCGAAAGCAUGGGGAGCGAACAGGAUUAGAUACCCUGGUAGUCCAUGCCGUAAACGUUGGGCACUAGGUGUGGGGGACAUUCCACGUUUUCCGCGCCGUAGCUAACGCAUUAAGUGCCCCGCCUGGGGAGUACGGCCGCAAGGCUAAAACUCAAAGGAAUUGACGGGGGCCCGCACAAGCGGCGGAGCAUGCGGAUUAAUUCGAUGCAACGCGAAGAACCUUACCAAGGCUUGACAUGUGCCAGAUCGCCGUGGAAACACGGUUUCCCCUUUGGGGCUGGGUUCACAGGUGCUGCAUGGUUGUCGUCAGCUCGUGUCGUGAGAUGUUUGGGAUAAGGUCCAGCACGAGCAGCAACCUCGUUCAUGUUGCAGCACGUAUGGUGGGGUACUCAUGGGUAGAACUGACGGGUCAACUUCGAGGACGUGGAGACCGAGUCGAAUCAUGCAUGCCCUUAUGUCUGGACUGUCCGCGAUGCUCAUGACGUUAACCUGGGUGUGCAAUUGUGAGGUCGUAAUGCUAGUACGCGAGAGAG
RNAcentral lists this ribosomal RNA (1240 nucleotides) under Paeniglutamicibacter sp. RNAcentral's name for it is "bacterial SSU rRNA". It matches the Rfam family "Bacterial small subunit ribosomal RNA", at positions 30 to 1283 of the family's 1533-position model. The record is from RNAcentral. Lineage: Bacteria; Bacillati; Actinomycetota; Actinomycetes; Micrococcales; Micrococcaceae.